Molecule: ribosomal RNA, 298 nt
Filed under: uncultured Staphylococcus sp.
Lineage: Bacteria; Bacillati; Bacillota; Bacilli; Caryophanales; Staphylococcaceae
Description: partial 16S ribosomal RNA
Rfam family: Bacterial small subunit ribosomal RNA
Source: RNAcentral
GUGCCAGCAGCCGCGGUAAUACGUAGGUGGCAAGCGUUAUCCGGAAUUAUUGGGCGUAAAGCGCGCGUAGGCGGUUUUUUAAGUCUGAUGUGAAAGCCCACGGCUCAACCGUGGAGGGUCAUUGGAAACUGGAAAACUUGAGUGCAGAAGAGGAAAGUGGAAUUCCAUGUGUAGCGGUGAAAUGCGCAGAGAUAUGGAGGAGCACCAGUGGCGAAGGCGACUUUCUGGUCUGUAACUGACGCUGAUGUGCGAAAGCGUGGGGAUUGAACAGGAUUAGAUACCCUGGUAGUCAAGGGCG